CCACCAAAUAUUAAACCCUAGCCCUGGAAACCAACCUCCAAAUCAUUCUCUAAGAACAAGAUAAUUUAUCUCCCACUUUGAGUCUGUGGUCCCACCCCUCCUGUCUAGACAUCCAGGAGCUGGUGGCCCAUCCCUAGGCCAGGUCUUAGCCUUUAUCUCCCAGUGGCCACUUAUUCCUUCACAACCAAGAUCUAAAUCUGUGAUUAAGCCAGUUGGUUGGGCUAGGUGCCUGAGGAGUUUGGGGGAAGGAGGGACUGAACACCAACCUCAAGUGGCAAAGGGUGUCUGCUCCACUCUCCACACGCCCCACACACAUUCAAUCACAGCCUCAAGUUCAAAAGUGAAUUAAAACUCAAAGAAGCCUGGAUACAGGGACAAGGGGAGAGCAGUAAGAGAAAGAAAGAAGCAAACGAAAUUCCUGAAUGGAUAAGAGAUGCUACGUCAGCGGUACUGGAGCCGCAUCCUCCACUCCACAAGAAGAGAAGAGCAAGGAGAGACCAGCGGGCGGGCGGCAGCGGCAGUGGCCUCUCCGUGAGGUCGCACAGGAAAGAAGCAGCCAGCUGUCCAGAAGCAGCCUCCUCCUUGUUUGGUUUCUUCGGAUGUCAUCCUAGGUGACCGCGUCUCUGGCUUUGGGGUAUUUAUUUCCUUCCUUGCUUUGAUGGUGUUGUGGGUGGGGGAGGGAAAAAAAGGAAGCUAAUCCUGUUACAUCCCAGCUCUCCACCCCACUCGCUAUCUCUUCUAGUCUCCAGCCUUUGAUUUUUUGGUCCAUUUUGUAGCCAGACCUGCAUUGUCAAAGCAAUGCAAACAACAUGGCCUGGGGACAAAAGGCCACCCUGUGUCUGGUUCUGCACAGCGAGGAAAGCACCCUCCCUCUUCUUCCACAGCCCCCUGGGGAAGACAUGGAGGUCUUUGACUCUGAGGGAAGUGGUUAGUUUGAGAAGGAGACAGAAAUAGGAAUGAAUGGGCGGGCAGGGGUGAGGUCCUUAAGUAGCUGAGUGGGUACAUGCACCUUUAAGCAUUGGAAGACAAUACUGCUUAGCUUUCCAUGAAUUUACCACUGAAUCUGUCUGAGUUUAUGGGUGUGAGUGUGCAUGCCUGUGAUUGAGUGUGGGUGUGCUUUACACACUCAUGCUUUUGACCACAGAUAAUCUUAUGACAAAAGUCUGAUAUGAAUGACUGAGCUGACCCCUGCCAUCUUGGUCACCAUGUCUCCUCUCCCCGAUACUGUAGGACUAGGGCAAUAGGCAUGUGAGUUCUGCAGGGUUCAUCUCUGUGAGCAGACCAAGAGGAGCUGAGAAGGUAGCAUUUCCACAGGCUGGAAAUGCUCCCACUCCCAGAAAGGGUGUGUCCACAGUGGUCACCUCCUCUAAACCCAGUCCUGAGGCAUCCUAACCUCAUCUGUGUAUAUGGCAGCCUUAAAAACAAGCAAACAAAUAAACAACCCUGCCAUUUCUAACUGCUGUUACUUCUAUUUGUCCCAAUGCUAUAGACAUUGCAAGGCAUUCAGUAACGGAAUGGGGUUUAAUAGUAGCCACAGUAAUUAGCUUCUGUUGCAGAGAUAAGCUCACCCUCAGACGAAGCUCUGAGUGCAUCUCUAAGGCAAAUCCACCUUGCAAACAAGGACAAGCUAUGUUUUUAUUAUACUCGCUAAGCACACGUCCCUUUUGCACUACCUUACUAUUUCAUGAGAGUGCUUUCCUGCCAAAGUUUACACAGGGACUCAAAGGCCCUGUCCAGACAGCAUAACUGAGUCUGUGCUUCUGUUUCUGUAGGCCCCUCAGACACAGAGACAAUAGGUGGGCAGCUGUAUUGAUAGGGGACAUUGGCUUCAGUUGUAGCUGUGGCUCAAUGCUUGGGUGCUUGCCUAGUAAUGUAUUGAGUCCUGGAUUUGAUCCCGGGGACCCCCAAAGGAUGAAGGUUCCUGGAACACCCACAGACUCCUAUUAGCACAAGGAGUGGAAAUAUCCUUCCAAGAAGUACUCAGUGAGAUCCACAGGCCACCAGAGAGAGUAGAUUGCUUUGUGCUGGAGGAAAGAGAGGGCUCUGCUCCUUAGGAGACUGAGGUCGGUGAGCCAAUUGAGCCCUCUGGAACUAUUGUACCCAGCUUCGAGUCCUGCAGACUUGCUGUGUCCAGGACACAAGUCUGUUCUCUGUCGUCUCCUCUGACAUAAGUUUGUUUCUCAAAUAUUCUGCAUGAACCUUACCUACUUUUUUUCUUUGUGGAUGAAGGAUACAUCAAAGGGGAAAAAAAAACUUGUUCUUGAGGGCCACUUUUGAAGGGGUUUCUUGUUUAAACCUUGAAGAAUGUAGUGUACUAAUUUAUACCCAGAUUGAUCCCAGUUAAAAGGAGCAGAGGGUCCUCAGUCCUCUGCUUCUCUCCAAGCAUCAAGCCUAGCAAGGUCCCAUUUUCACUGGGGUGAAGGUACCAUUCACCUGCAUCUCUAAAGGAUCAGUGGGAAGCCAGCUUGUCCUGUGAACCCAGACAAAAAUUGUUUCCUCAGGAACUGGGCAGAGGCAGGCAUGAGUGCAGUGGGCUGUUCUUCUGUGGGUCACCUUCUCCUUAAUUUGGAUGCUGUUAGACUGAACUGCUCCUAAAAGCCCAAAGUCAAUAUAAAAGGCAGCAGGACUUUAUUCUGUAUCUGCUGUUUGAGGAACAUUUUUAGAACCCAGCAAAGUGUGCUCGUUUCUUCCUUAAGGUUAAUUUUGAGAAAGUCCAGUUGUAUCUGAAUUUGGCCAUUAGGAAUAUGGGGUGGGAGUGUACAUUGGGCAAGGAAACUUUUGCGUACUCUCCCCUUCCCAACAAAAAUACAACAGCGUCUGAGAAGAAAAGUUUGACUAGUCCAGCUGCCUUUUACCUCAAGGCUUGCAGGACUCUAGGGCAGGGGUCCCUGCAGAGGACAGGGAAUGCUAAAAAUUGGUGAGAAGGAAGGGAAACAUCUUACUGGCAGAUGAGCCUCUCUGAGGCUGACUCUGACCUCUAAACUUUUUGGUGUUGGGAAGGGAGGGUAAGGGGAGAAAGGGACUUUCGGGGUUUAAAAGCACUUUUGUGGAACGAGCAAAUCGAGUAAAUCAAUGCUCUUAGGAAGCCAGGCCAGCGCGUGUAAAGGAGUUAGUGUGGAUGCUGCUUGUGUGAAGGGGCAUGAGGUGGCAUGCAGACAGUCACAGGCUUGUGGGCAUGGGGAGAAACCCAGUAAAGGGCCUUACUGGAUGGGUUUAGGGACUGUAUUUAGCAUCAUAGCCAGAGGGAGGGCUGCCUAGAGAAUACUUGGGGGAAGGGCUCCCUUUUAUUCUGCAGCUGUACUAGAGCUCCAGGAGCCCCCAAACCCUCUGGGCACACCAUUCUGAGCUGUAAGGGUGUGGGGGUGUUGAAGGAAACUGUAUAGAGUGUCCCCUUCUUUCAGCCCCACCAUUGUACGUGGCUUAGUUCUGGCACAGCAAAAGCAUCUGAGCUGUGCCUCAUUCAACCUUGUAAUCUCAGCACUCAGGAGGCUGAGGCAAGAAGAUCAAAAUCCCCAAGCCGAACUGUGCUAAAGUGAGCUCAAGGCUAGCCUGAGCUAAACUUAGGGAGGCUGUGUCACAGAAUAAAAAGUAAAAGAGGUCUGGGGUAGAGGGCUUGCCCAGCCUAUGAGAGGCCCUGGGCUUGCCCUUUAGUACUUCAAUUAAUGAAUGAGCCACUCUCAGAAAAGAGCCUUAAGGCAAUGUAGAGGUUUGACAAAAAAGAAAAAAGAAAGAAAGAAGAUUAAAAAUAAAUAAAUAAAAUUCUGGCUGAACCUGGUCCUGAGAACGUCCUGAGACCUGGAGAGAUGUGACUAUUUGCUUCAGCUUGCUCUCAUCCUUCUGGUAGGGAAACAGCUUAUAGGUUUUCUCUCAUCUCAAGCCGGCCCCACCCGCAGCCAUGCAACCAGCAUCAAUAGCAAUGAACAUCCAGCCAUUCUCCUGUUAGGGGGAGAAGCACGAAGUUAAACCUAUUAGCCAUCACCUUCCGUCCAAGCAAGGCAAGCAGUACGCAGGUCGCAGGUCUGGUUUUGCCUUGGGCUAUUCAUGGGACUAACAGAUAGAUAUAGACGGGCCCAACGGUUAAAAUGAUGGUCCCCUGAGUGGACUGCUGGUGACCCAGGGUUUAAGGGUCCCUGGUUACAGGACCAGCAGGAUUUAGGAAUCUCAGCCAGUUUUAUAGAAAGGACCAGCAGAGGGUGAGUAGGAGGAUGAAGGAACAGCUCACUGGCACACACAGCAGCUCCUGGGCUCAUGGCUUGCUCUGAGAACUUUGGUGUAGCUAGAACCCAGAUGUUGCCCAACAGCAUCUGACUACUCCCUGGUGCUUUUCUGCUUCUUCAAUGGAGAGAAGGAUCUUCUGGCUGGACUAGCUAGAGAGCCAGGGGGAGAAAGUUGAGGAUGGGGAGGGACAGAGCUUUGCUGCAGGGUUAUCGUCCUUGGGGAACCCAGCUCCAGAGCUGGCACUGUGGUGCCUUGGAGCCUGGAGGAACAUGGGUAGAGGGAGAGACCUGUUAAAAAUCUCCAGGGCUUGGCCGAAUUCUGAGUCUCAAAAGCAGUUAGGAUUCUCAGCUGUGGUUUUCUUUCCUCACUUGGAAACUUGAUACUGCAAACAGGUUCAAGAAACAUUCUCCUGGAAUGCAGACCAGAAGGCCGCCUUUGCUGGUCCAUUGUCUCCUAGAAGGAGACCCAACCUAUAGAAUCUUCCGGUCAGUGUUUUGAGUUGAAAACCUUGAACAAAAGAGAUCCUCGCCUCUCCCAAAUAUUAGGACCAGAGUUUGGGAAGAAUUAGAACUCAAAACACUCUCCCAGUGGGAGGGGUCAGGGAUCGAUAGAAUCUCCAAUCCAUAUCCCUGCCUCAACCUCCCCGGACUGAGCUUACAGAUCACUUCUCUUUGAGGGAAUUUUGCCCGAUUUAUUUUCUAUCUUUGCCCGCUAGUCCUGGUGCAAUGUACCGUAGAGCCCAAAUGGAAAAUGUAGGAUCGACAAGAAGAGCGAGGGUGGAUAUCAGAACCGCAAUUGGCAAUGGAUUACCGACGUGGCAGGCGGGUAGUAGAUGAGGCAUCAAAAGGAUGAGGAUUCGCAGGACGACAUUGGAUCCCCUGUACCACCAAAUUCUCUGGGGGAGGGGCUCCCCAACUGCACGUCUUGAACUGGCCUGGGGAGGGAGAGGGACGGGCAUGGAAAGGGGGUGGUGAGGUGGGGGGGGGGGAGACGAACGAGGCAGUGACGUCAGACCAGGUAUAGCCAAUCAGAGGCUGGCCUGAGGAAGGAGUGUGAAGGGAUGAAUGAAAAGUCCGGAGCCUGAGAGCGCCCCCGCCAGAGCAGCGGCCAAGGCUGAGGAGGGAGCUGGGACUCGAGACCCUGCUCCACCCUGCCGGCUCCCGCUCGGCCCCGUCACCUGGCAAGCCCCGGCAUCUUCGACCCACGUCCGUGGCGCGGCCUGGGUAGGAAUGCGCCUGAAGACCGCGCAGGACACCACCACCGGGCAUCCUGGGCUUGAUCUACUCCCCUGGGCGGGUGGGUGCUCUACCCUCCCGCCCACUCUCUGAGGACAUGAGGACCAGCGACAUCCAGCACCACGGACAGCUCCCGGCGGUUCCCUGAGUGCCUAGUCCGUGUGCAUGACUGGAGGAGACUCCCAUAGCCUUGCAGAGGGAAAGCAGAUACAACCCACCCCAGACCAUGGCGGUUUCCCUGCAACGAGCCCAGUGGCUUUCUGGAGGACACUUUUCCUGGAGGGAAGCAGUGACUCAGCAUAAGUUCUUGCCUGGCCUCACUUGAGAGUCUCUUCCCGCUGAUCAGCAGAGGUCGUCUCCCUCUUCACCAGACCCUUGCUGCCUACCUGGUCCUUCUAACUGUGCAUUGGGUUUGGAGCACUUUAAACAGUAGAAUGACUGCAAGUCAAGAGCUCAGCCUACAGGAAGGACAACAAAAGGCAGGGUCAGUGCUGGAGAGACUGGACAGACCAAAAAGAAGACCUGACCUCACCCUGAGCACCCCUGUCAUGCAAAGUACGUUUGCAGACUGCCAACUGGCUGGCUCCAGCAAGCAGAAGUGGACGGGGUGGAGGCUCAACCUGGCAGCUUCUCCCCAAAGCCAUGCCUGGUCACUUCCAGCAAGUUGUCCAGCCUGACCAUCCAUUUCCCCUGUCGCCUCUCAGCUGGGUCCCCGAGACCCACCCCAUCUCCAAUAAAGAACGUUGCAUACAGAGCA
Molecule: long non-coding RNA, 6210 nt
Organism: Rattus norvegicus (Norway rat)
Lineage: Eukaryota; Metazoa; Chordata; Mammalia; Rodentia; Muridae
Source: RefSeq, a predicted model, not a curated record